Molecule: long non-coding RNA, 2461 nt
Organism: Bactrocera neohumeralis
Lineage: Eukaryota; Metazoa; Arthropoda; Insecta; Diptera; Tephritidae
Exons: 2
Source: RefSeq, a predicted model, not a curated record
GUGUCCAUACCUACUUGCACGCACAAACGUGCACAUAGCUUGUCUACUCGUGAAUUUAAGUUCCGUCGCUGUGGCUCCAUUGCUGAGCGCUGAUGCAAUAAAACCAAACACACUUAAUGCCAUGAUUCAGCUUAUUGAGAUAAGUGAUUUCUUGAAAAUUUACUAUUUGUUGAUGAAAUAAGCAUGGCACGCAUUCUAUUAUUAUAAACCUUUGUGUGGCAAAUAACAAAUACAGACUCAUCCUAAUUAUCACUCCAGCGUUUCAAGUAGUGGCUCUAAGAAAUAAUAGCAAGCAAACAUGAUAACUUUGGCUUUCAUUAUAUAAAUAUGCUUAAUAGCCCACGUACGAUGUUAUCAAUAUCGAUCAGCUUAUAGUUAAGGGCGAUAAAAGAACAACUAUUCAAGAUAGUAAAAAAACCGUUAAGUCAAAACGUAACUAAUUGAAAUCCAAUAAUUAUAAUGGUCAAGUAAUUGUUGACGACUAACGUUUAUGUAUUUGCGGCAUCAAUCGCAAAAUAAAUAACUAAUUCACUUUGGGGUCAUUCGAGCUGCAAUAAUGUUUUGAUGACGUGAAAUUAUAUUCAGAUUAGAAUUUAAUAGCGUUAAUUUACUAUUUGUUGUUUUGCACAACACAACAUUUUAACAUAAGGUCGGCAGGGCUGAUAUAAAAUUAAUAUAGCAUGCUUACUGUUAUCAAAAUAGUUGGAAGAUGGCUGUUAUUGGAAAUGGAAAUUUUACCGGCUUAAUUAUGCACAGGUACAAACUUCUAAAUUUAAUAACUCCGCUUAACACAUACGAACGUACAUACAUACAUGAUUUAUGGCAGAGCGUUGUUAGUCACAAACGAUCAAAAGUGUCUGGAAAUUGUAUUAUAUGCUUCAAGUAUCCAUCAAUCUAUAUACAAGUGUACGCCAGUGUCGAAUCAUUUCUAGUAUCGAGUGCAAAUGGUGGUAUUUAGUAUUGGUUUUGCUGAUAAGCACACAUAGUACGUACAUACAUACAUAUUUACAUAUUUGCGCACUUGUAGAACGGUCUUUAUUGCAAACAAAAUGUGUUUCCUAGCAUUAUUGAGAUAAAAAAUUGGUUGCAAAAGUAUAUAAAGCUUUGGUUUCUACUUACAAACACCUAGACAUACAUAUGCGAGUAUGCAAGAACGUUCAUGAAAAUGUUGAUAAGAUAUGAGUAAUACAACAGUACUGUAAAUACCACAUUUUCUAAAACACAUAUUCUUUUUUUGAUAUCUUGGGGAAAAAAUUUAAUUUACGUUUUUUUUCAAUAACAUUUGCUCUAAGAAAGUAAAUUUUGUUUUCAAACCAAACAACAUUUUUCCACUUUAAAUAUUGCAUACUUUUAGGCGAUUUAUUAAUGAGUUUGUGAUUGACCAAAGAGAGCACAACUCCAAAAAUACUUUUUAUAGAGUGAAAACAAAUAAAGGAAACCUUUUUAAUAUAUAAGAAAAUCUACAAUUUUAUACCCUGAACACUAUACCCUCUGUGCCAUGAAUUUUGUAACACUUAGAAAAAUCGUCGGAGAUCCUAUAAUCAGCAUGACGAGCUGUUUUCAACAUAGCGAUCUCACGUCCUUUUCUCUACAAGAAGCUGAUGGAACGAUAUCAGAUCACUAUAGCAUAUAGCAGCUACACGAACUGAACAAUCAAAUAAUGUACAUGCACGAACGAAGGUUUCUUAUUGUUGUAGCGGCAAAAAAUAUUCCUGAAUGGCCGCUUUAAAAUCUGGUGGCGUUCCGGUUACUUAAACUCGACUGCCGUGGGAAGGGUAUUAUAGCUUUGGUGCAAGACGACGGAUCGUUUUUUUUUUUGAAUUUAUUGCAAACCUAUAAACGAAAAAAAACUGACACAGCACAUCUCCGGACUUUUAAGUAAAGCAAAUUGUCAUCACAAACAUUUUCUAAAGCAGCAACUGAUUUUUGAUUCUAAAAAUUAGAUUGUAAGUGGGGAAUACAUUUUAAGGAUGUUAAUACAACUCGAAGUUAUUAAUCAAUUCACUUGAACACUAUUAUAUCAAGCAUUAUUGAUUUUUGUAUUAUGCACAAAUAUGUGUAUUGGUUCAUUAUACGCCCAACACACCAUUGUUAUUUGUAUAAGGAUGUUUGGCACAGCACUAUCAUAAAAUAGCCGGUAUGACACGCAAUUGCACUAUCAUCAUACCGCACCACAUUUGCAGUGGUAUCAUUGAAACCAAUAUAUAUUAAAUUUUUUCAAUUCUUUAUUCUCCUUCACGCACAAUUACUGCAGUUUUUCAGUGACUAUUAUCAUUCUAUUUUUGUAAAAAAUAAUAUAAACACUUUGCUUUUGCCAGCUGCAAUAGCUUAAAUACACUUUUAAUAGUGUAACGACCCUGUGUCCCGCUUAGAAGAAGAAUCCAAGAAUUUUACCUCCCAAAUGUUUUCGUCUGGCCUCUUCAUGAUCCAUGAUACCGCCGGAUGUAGUCAACACAACAUA